This 471-nucleotide long non-coding RNA is filed under the name Musa acuminata (dwarf banana). RNAcentral's name for it is "long non-coding RNA (MACU_LNC003979)". Lineage: Eukaryota; Viridiplantae; Streptophyta; Magnoliopsida; Zingiberales; Musaceae. The record is from RNAcentral.
UUAAAAAUUGUGAAGCAAUGCACUGGUCAAACAAGAGGAGACGUGCUCCAUCACCAUGGAUUCCACUCUGCAUGAUCCUGAUCCUGUUCUUGUUCAUCAUUGGCCCUGGCAUGUUCAAGAUCAUCAAGAUGCUAACAACAGAAGCAGCAGCAGAAGAGGGAAGAAAGGGACGUACCUCGCCCUUUAUACUUGUCUUCCUUGUCGUUCUUCUCAUGACAAUCCAUCUCCGCAGCUCUUCUCACGGCAAUCCAUCUCUGCAGCAGCGUGUCGUUCCCAUCUCGUUGUCAGCGGCCACCAUCAUGUACUUUUAAUUGCAGUACAAGUCUAGGUUUGGCAUGGGGCUUCAUCUUGAUCGGAAUACAACAUCAUCAUCAUCACAAUUUGCUCAGUCUCCUCUAUUCAUUAUCACAUAAGCUUGGAACGGAAGGCCUUGCAGUUAGUAGUUCCUUACCAAACUUGGUAUAGAUUUUU